This is a long non-coding RNA of Salvia splendens (bonfire salvia), 222 nucleotides long. RefSeq lists it as uncharacterized. Lineage: Eukaryota; Viridiplantae; Streptophyta; Magnoliopsida; Lamiales; Lamiaceae. The transcript is spliced from 2 exons. The record is from RefSeq and is a predicted model, not a curated record.
GCCUAUAGGUUGUCACAGAAUAAGUUAUCUCUAUGAAUGAGGACCAGUGGCGCCUCAAAAUCAAUGAUACAUAGGUUCUGAUCAAGGCGCAUCUACUGCUGGUUGCGAUUUUUUUACUUCUGAAGCUUUUAUUGUUAAAGACAUCAUAUACUCCAUAUUGAUUGAGAUGAUUUUUCCUUAGAUGAAGAAGAUAUUUUGACAGUUGCAGUUAUGCACUUUUAA